Molecule: ribosomal RNA, 389 nt
Filed under: uncultured bacterium
Lineage: Bacteria
Description: bacterial SSU rRNA
Rfam family: Bacterial small subunit ribosomal RNA
Source: RNAcentral
UUACCGGCUUGACAUAGAUAGAGAUCUCGUACAGGUGCUGCAUGGCUGUCGUCAGCUCGUGUCGUGAAAUGUUAGGUUAAGUCCUGCAACGAGCGCAACCCUAUCUUAGUUGCCAUCAUGGGACUCUAAGAGACUGCCGGUGUCGACCGGAGGAAGGUGGGGAUGACGUCAAGUCCUCAUGGCCCUUACGCCGGGCUACACACGUGCUACAAUGGGGUACAUGGGGCACCGCAAGGGGAGCAAUCCCAAAACCGCCUCAGUUCGGAUUGGAGUCUGCAACUCGACUCCAUGAAGCUGGAAUCGCUAGUAAUCGCGAUCAGAACGCGCGGUGAAUACGUUCCCGGGCCUUGUACACACCGCCCGUCAAGUCACCUGAAUUGGUGACCCAA